Molecule: ribosomal RNA, 253 nt
Filed under: uncultured bacterium
Lineage: Bacteria
Description: partial 16S ribosomal RNA
Rfam family: Bacterial small subunit ribosomal RNA
Source: RNAcentral
UACGUAGGGGUCAAGCGUUGUCCGGAUUUAUUGGGCGUAAAGAGCGUGUAGGCGGCCUGAAAGGUCAGCUGUGAAAACUCGAGGCUCAACCUCGAGACGUCGGUUGAAACCAUCUGGCUAGAGUCCGGAAGAGGAGUGUGGAAUUCCCGGUGUAGCGGUGAAAUGCUCAGAUAUCGGGAAGAACACCAAUGGCGAAGGCAGCUCGCUGGGACGGUACUGACGCUGAGACGCGAAAGCGUGGGGAGCAAACGGG